UAGAGCUGUGGUCCGUGAUGUAUCUCUAUAUUCUGAUGAUUAAAAAUGAGGUCAUUCAGCAGUAUUCGUCACUACCACUGAGACCACAGGCUA
This is a small nucleolar RNA of Lampris incognitus (smalleye Pacific opah), 93 nucleotides long. RefSeq annotates it as small nucleolar RNA SNORD70. Lineage: Eukaryota; Metazoa; Chordata; Actinopteri; Lampriformes; Lampridae. The transcript has a single exon. The record is from RefSeq and is a predicted model, not a curated record.